Molecule: ribosomal RNA, 95 nt
Filed under: Octodon degus (degu)
Lineage: Eukaryota; Metazoa; Chordata; Mammalia; Rodentia; Octodontidae
Source: RNAcentral
CCGUGCCACCCCUAAUCGGCCCAAUCUCAGUCUGAUCUGGGAAGGAAAGCAGGGCUGGGCCUGGUUACUGCUUGGGUGGGAGACAGGUUCAUGGG